CUGCUCAAUGAACAUAUUUAAAUAGCUGCAGUAUAAAUAACUGUACAAAGGUAGCAUAAUAAUUAGAUUUUUAAUUAAAAUCUAGAAUGAAAGAUUCAAUGAAAUAUAAACUUUAUUAUUUUAAUUAAAGCUUAAUUUUUUAUUUAAUUUAAAAAAAUUAAAUAAAAUUAAAAGACGAGAAGACCCUAUAGAAUUUUAUUUUUAAAAAUUAAUUUAUAAAAUUUAAAAAUUAAUUAUUAAAAAUUUAAUUGGGGGAAUUUUAAAAUUUAAUAAAUUUUUAUUUAAGUAAACAAAAAUAUUUGUAUAAAAUAUAUUUUUUUAAAAAAAUAAACUAAAUUACCUUAGGGAUAACAGCAUAAUUUUUUUUAAAAGUACAAAUUUAUAAAAAAGCUUAUGACCUCGAUGUUGAAUUAAGAUAAAAUUUAAACGUAAAAUUUUUAUAAUUUAAGUCUGUUCGACU
Molecule: ribosomal RNA, 460 nt
Filed under: Mirax sp.
Lineage: Eukaryota; Metazoa; Arthropoda; Insecta; Hymenoptera; Braconidae
Description: partial 16S ribosomal RNA
Source: RNAcentral